AGUGAACGCUGGCGGUAGGCCUAACACAUGCAAGUCGAACGACAGCACAGUAAGAGCUUGCUCUUACGGGUGGCGAGUGGCGGACGGGUGAGGAAUACAUCGGAAUCUACUUUUUCGUGGGGGAUAACGUAGGGAAACUUACGCUAAUACCGCAUACGACCUACGGGUGAAAUCAGGGGAUCUUCGGACCUUGCGCGAUUGAAUGAGCCGAUGUCGGAUUAGCUAGUUGGCGGGGUAAAGGCCCACCAAGGCGACGAUCCGUAGCUGGUCUGAGAGGAUGAUCAGCCACACUGGAACUGAGACACGGUCCAGACUCCUACGGGAGGCAGCAGUGGGGAAUAUUGGACAAUGGGCGCAAGCCUGAUCCAGCCAUACCGCGUGGGUGAAGAAGGCCUUCGGGUUGUAAAGCCCUUUUGUUGGGAAAGAAAAGCAGCAGGUUAAUACCCCGCUGUUCUGACGGUACCCAAAGAAUAAGCACCGGCUAACUUCGUG
RNAcentral lists this ribosomal RNA (492 nucleotides) under uncultured bacterium. RNAcentral describes it as "partial 16S ribosomal RNA". It matches the Rfam family "Bacterial small subunit ribosomal RNA", at positions 29 to 507 of the family's 1533-position model. The record is from RNAcentral.